CUGUUUCCGCCAUUUCAAGGGAUGGCGCUCCCAUCUCUUUAAGCUGCCGCUCUUCCAACUUGGCAGGGCUGAUUAGGAAGACCCAGUUCCUGACCACCGAUGCUUUGCUACGCUAGGCUGGAAAAUGCCUCCCUCUGCCCUUGAGAAGGGGGUCUGAAUGUUUUGCGGGACUGACACCGCAGCAACAUGCCGGUGUGUUUCACGCUGCUGCCUCCUGUUUCCCUUGAAGCUUUCACCAGACCCUGGAUUUCUUUUUCACUUCCUGUUCUGAGCCAUCGCCGGGCACUCAUUACCCACCAGCUGUGUCCCAGCUGCCGCAUUCUACACUAGAGGUGGCGCCCUGCACCCGGCGGAAAUGAAGAGAAUCAGACUACCCACCUUGGAUUCUGAUAUGAAAGAUUUAGGAUAAAAGAGCUACUCCAUCAGCCUGGAAAGAUGACUCACUGGCAAACUCUUAGAUAAAGCUAAACUUCACACCAAACUGCAAGAGAGUCUAAGAAUGAAGAGAAAACUGCUUUGGCAAGCAACUACCUAGUCUCUGACACAGUCCACCUUUUUGGUCAGCCAAUAUCCAGCUCCGCCUUGUCUUCUUACACAAAGCCCAGGCAAAGCCCAGGAUUGCUAACUGUUGUACAAACCUGUUGGUCAGGCCUAGAUGGAAGCUUUCAACCCCAUUUCAAGUCAGCUGGCUUAUCCAACCCUGAAAGGUCUGUGAUCUCUCAGUUCUUUUUAUAAACAGGCCUCUGCUUGCAAAUGGCCAAUUCUUGCCUGAGCUCAUCUCUUUCUUGUAAUACUUUAUGAAAGGCAGCCAGUAGUAACUAAUGCAUAAAUUUUUCCAACCAACUGGCCCAAAGGUCAGUAGACCUUUUUACCAAAUGUUUCGCAAUGUAUAGCAUGAAUCUCCAUCUUUCUCCUCUCUGUUAUCAGGUUCCUCAGUGCCCAACCAUUAUGUCAAUGCCUUUUACCUUAAUUUUUUUCUUAUGGCAACAUUUUCUUCUGGAAUUAUUUCUGUACUGUAGCAAAUGCCCUAAACUGUGUAAAACAGUUUGAAGACACUAUUUUUUUUUCUAUUUUUAUCAUUUGUUCCUCGGUCUACUCAAUACGCUCCCUGCUUAAAACUCCCCUAGUGAUUUUCUGUUGGGUUUAAAAUAGAGUCUAAACUCUUUACCAUGGAUUACAAGCUUCUCUGUUAACUGGUUGUAACCUGCAUUUCCAGCCUCCUUUGGCGCCACUCUUGUCCCACCAACUAUAUCACAUUUCCUUUGGAACAUUUUCUGCUUCUUGAACUUGCCCAGGUCCUUGCUGUUAGCUGGUCCCUUUGCCUAUGAUGAUCUUCCUUCUUAGCAUCACUUGAACUGCAAAAAAUAAAAAAUGAAACAAAAAACAAA
RNAcentral lists this long non-coding RNA (1388 nucleotides) under Homo sapiens (human). RNAcentral's name for it is "non-protein coding LINC01579:12". The record is from RNAcentral. Lineage: Eukaryota; Metazoa; Chordata; Mammalia; Primates; Hominidae.